This 1665-nucleotide ribosomal RNA is filed under the name Triticum aestivum (bread wheat). Its description in RNAcentral is "partial small subunit ribosomal RNA". Lineage: Eukaryota; Viridiplantae; Streptophyta; Magnoliopsida; Poales; Poaceae. The record is from RNAcentral.
AUGAUGGAAGACGACGGCAUGGAUUUCAGCCCUCAGAAAAACAGUAAUGAUUUCGACCGCGACAGCUUCGAAGACGAUGAAUUCAUCGAAAUUCAAUCUGCAACCUCGAAAGCACCUGCUCACUCGCAAGGCCCUCCUGAUAGGAAACCAAAGCCGAAGAACAAGCCAGCUAAGAUCGAGAAACCUAGCCCGGCCAAUCUGCACCACGUCUCUACAAUGAGCCCGGGGCUGCCCCACUCCCAAACAUCCGAAACAAUCGCAACGAGCGCGAACAAUUCCGAAACCGUCGUCGGCAAUGGCAGCUUGGAGAGCAGCCGUAGCACCCGGAGCAACAGCCUAGAGAGCAGCAUCAGCUCGGCGUCGGCGUCGGCGUCGUCGGCGAACGUGAAGCGGCACACUGGCGGGGACAGCCGGUGGGAGGCGAUCCAGCAGGCGACGGCCCAGGAGACGGCUCUCAACCUUGGCCACUUCCGGCUGCUGAAGCGGCUGGGCUACGGCGACAUCGGCAGCGUGUACUUGGUGGAGCUCCGCGGCACGUCGGCCUUCUUCGCGAUGAAGGUGAUGGACAAGGCGUCGCUCAUCAGCCGGAAUAAGAUGGCCCGCGCGCAGACGGAGCGCGAGAUCCUCGUCCUCCUCGACCACCCCUUCCUCCCCACGCUCUACACCCACUUCGAGACCGACAAGUUCCACUGUCUCGUCAUGGAGUACUGCAGCGGCGGCAACCUCCACUCCCUCCGCCAGAAGCAGCCGGCCAAGCAUUUCACCGAGCAGGCCGCCAGGUUUUACACCGCCGAGAUACUGCUUGCCAUGGAGUACUUGCACAUGCUGGGGGUCGUUUACAGAGACUUGAAGCCAGAGAACGUGCUGGUCAGGGAGGACGGCCACAUCAUGCUGUCGGACUUCGACUUGUCGCUGCGGUGCUCCGUCAGCCCCACGCUCGUCAAGUCGUCUUCGGUACACCACACCAGCGGGAACGUCGGCGCCGGCGCAGGCGGCAUUGGCUCGGCCGGCGAGGGCGGCGAAGGAUUGGGUCCCAACCAGGGUUGCAUCCAGCCGUCGUCCUUCUUCCCGCGCAUCCUGCCGCGCCGCAGCCGGAAGGCGUCCAAGAGCGAGGUGAACCUCAACGCGGCGGCCGCGGUGGAGUUCAACGCGGAGCCGUCGGACGCGCGCUCCAUGUCGUUCGUGGGCACGCACGAGUACCUUGCGCCGGAGAUCAUCCGCGGCGAGGGCCACGGCAGCGCCGUGGACUGGUGGACGCUGGGAAUCUUCCUCUACGAGCUGCUGCACGGCACCACGCCCUUCAAGGGCGCCGGCAACCGCGCCACGCUCUGCAACGUCAUCGAGCAGCCGCUGCGGUUCCCCUCCGACUUCGGGGGCCCCGCCGGCGGCGCAAGUGCCGUCGCACGGGACCUCAUCCGCGGGCUGCUCGUCAAGGAGCCACAGAAGCGAAUUGCGUUCACGAGGGGCGCCACGGAGAUCAAGCAGCACCCGUUCUUCGAGGGCGUCAACUGGGCGCUGGUGAGGAGUAUGGCGCCUCCGUCGGUGCCGGAGCCAGUGGACUACCGGCAGUACGCAGCUGCCACCGGCAAGGAGAAGAAUGCAGCAGAGAGCGCAACCGCCAAGUCGAGCACCGGCGAAGCUCAAGGCGAUUUCGAGUAUUUCUAG